Molecule: long non-coding RNA, 234 nt
Filed under: Gossypium barbadense (sea-island cotton)
Lineage: Eukaryota; Viridiplantae; Streptophyta; Magnoliopsida; Malvales; Malvaceae
Description: long non-coding RNA (GBAR_LNC007232)
Source: RNAcentral
GUUAUUAGACUAAAUUGAAUGAAAAUAUGUUAAAUUAAGGCUUGGUAAGCUAGCUAUUAAGGUGAAAUGCUAAUGUUAGUAUUUGAUUUGGUAAUAAUCUGUUUGGGGACAGCAGCAGUAAGGUGAUUUUGGAAAAUCGUCAUAAUUUGUAGGAGUUGAAUUAGAAGCUGAGUGAAUUAUGCCAUUAAAGCUUGAAGAGUCUAUUUUCUUACAAAAGAAACUAUUAAAACAAAA